AGAGUUUGAUCAUGGCUCAGAUUGAACGCUGGCGGCAGGCCUAACACAUGCAAGUCGAACGGUAACAGGAAGCAGCUUGCUGCUUCGCUGACGAGUGGCGGACGGGUGAGUAAUGUCUGGGAAACUGCCUGAUGGAGGGGGAUAACUACUGGAAACGGUGGCUAAUACCGCAUAACGUCGCAAGACCAAAGAGGGGGACCUUCGGGCCUCUUGCCAUCAGAUGUGCCCAGAUGGGAUUAGCUUGUUGGUGAGGUAACGGCUCACCAAGGCGACGAUCCCUAGCUGGUCUGAGAGGAUGACCAGCCACACUGGAACUGAGACACGGUCCAGACUCCUACGGGAGGCAGCAGUGGGGAAUAUUGCACAAUGGGCGCAAGCCUGAUGCAGCCAUGCCGCGUGUAUGAAGAAGGCCUUCGGGUUGUAAAGUACUUUCAGCGGGGAGGAAGGUGUUGUGGUUAAUAACCACAGCAAUUGACGUUACCCGCAGAAGAAGCACCGGCUAACUCCGUGCCAGCAGCCGCGGUAAUACGGAGGGUGCAAGCGUUAAUCGGAAUUACUGGGCGUAAAGCGCACGCAGGCGGUCUGUCAAGUCGGAUGUGAAAUCCCCGGGCUCAACCUGGGAACUGCAUUCGAAACUGGCAGGCUUGAGUCUUGUAGAGGGGGGUAGAAUUCCAGGUGUAGCGGUGAAAUGCGUAGAGAUCUGGAGGAAUACCGGUGGCGAAGGCGGCCCCCUGGACAAAGACUGACGCUCAGGUGCGAAAGCGUGGGGAGCAAACAGGAUUAGAUACCCUGGUAGUCCACGCCGUAAACGAUGUCUACUUGGAGGUUGUGCCCUUGAGGCGUGGCUUCCGGAGCUAACGCGUUAAGUAGACCGCCUGGGGAGUACGGCCGCAAGGUUAAAACUCAAAUGAAUUGACGGGGGCCCGCACAAGCGGUGGAGCAUGUGGUUUAAUUCGAUGCAACGCGAAGAACCUUACCUGGUCUUGACAUCCACGGAAGUUUUCAGAGAUGGAAUGGUGCCUUCGGGAACCGUGAGACAGGUGCUGCAUGGCUGUCGUCAGCUCGUGUUGUGAAAUGUUGGGUUAAGUCCCGCAACGAGCGCAACCCUUAUCCUUUGUUGCCAGCGGUCAGGCCGGGAACUCAAAGGAGACUGCCAGUGAUAAACUGGAGGAAGGUGGGGAUGACGUCAAGUCAUCAUGGCCCUUACGACCAGGGCUACACACGUGCUACAAUGGCGCAUACAAAGAGAAGCGACCUCGCGAGAGCAAGCGGACCUCAUAAAGUGCGUCGUAGUCCGGAUUGGAGUCUGCAACUCGACUCCAUGAAGUCGGAAUCGCUAGUAAUCGUGGAUCAGAAUGCCACGGUGAAUACGUUCCCGGGCCUUGUACACACCGCCCGUCACACCAUGGGAGUGGGUUGCAAAAGAAGUAGGUAGCUUAACCUUCGGGAGGGCGCUUACCACUUUGUGAUUCAUGACUGGGGUGAAGUCGUAACAAGGUAACCGUAGGGGAACCUGCGGUUG
RNAcentral lists this ribosomal RNA (1522 nucleotides) under Salmonella enterica subsp. enterica serovar Heidelberg. Its description in RNAcentral is "bacterial SSU rRNA". It matches the Rfam family "Bacterial small subunit ribosomal RNA". The record is from RNAcentral. Lineage: Bacteria; Pseudomonadati; Pseudomonadota; Gammaproteobacteria; Enterobacterales; Enterobacteriaceae.